This is a non-coding RNA of Naganishia vaughanmartiniae, 71 nucleotides long. The record is from the annotation of a GenBank genome assembly. NCBI's taxonomy places the organism in Eukaryota, Fungi, Basidiomycota, Tremellomycetes, Filobasidiales, Filobasidiaceae.
GUCCUCUUAGUUCAAAGGUAGAAUAGCGGUCUUCUAAGCUGCCUAUAUAGGUUCGAUUCCUAUAGGGGAUU